RNAcentral lists this ribosomal RNA (468 nucleotides) under uncultured bacterium. RNAcentral describes it as "partial 16S ribosomal RNA". It matches the Rfam family "Bacterial small subunit ribosomal RNA", at positions 28 to 507 of the family's 1533-position model. The record is from RNAcentral.
GACGAACGCUGGCGGCGUGCUUAACACAUGCAAGUCGAACGGAAAGGCCCUGCUUUUGUGGGGUGCUCGAGUGGCGAACGGGUGAGUAACACGUGAGUAACCUGCCCUUGACUUUGGGAUAACUUCAGGAAACUGGGGCUAAUACCGGAUAGGAGCUCCUGCUGCAUGGUGGGGGUUGGAAAGUUUCGUCGGUUGGGGAUGGACUCGCGGCUUAUCAGCUUGUUGGUGGGGUAGUGGCUUACCAAGGCUUUGACGGGUAGCCGGCCUGAGAGGGUGACCGGCCACAUUGGGACUGGGAUGCGGCCCAGACUCCUACGGGAGGCAGCAGUGGGGAAUAUUGCACAAUGGGCGGAAGCCUGAUGCAGCAACGCCGCGUGCGGGAUGACGGCCUUCGGGUUGUAAACCGCUUUCGCCUGUGACGAAGCGUGAGUGACGGUAAUGGGUAAAGAAGCACCGGCUAACUACGUG